GAUGAACGCUAGCGAUAGGCUUAACACAUGCAAGUCGAGGGGCAGCACAAGGUAGCUUGCUAUCUGGGUGGCGACCGGCGCACGGGUGCGUAACGCGUAUGCAACUUUCCCUAUACAGGAGGAUAACCCGUCGAAAGACGGACUAAUACUGCGUAUGCUCACAACUUGGCAUCAAGUGGUGAGGAAAGAAAUUCGGUAUAGGAUAGGCAUGCGUCCCAUUAGCUUGUUGGUGAGGUAACGGCUCACCAAGGCAACGAUGGGUAGGGGAACUGAGAGGUUUAUCCCCCACACUGGUACUGAGACACGGGCCAGACUCCUACGGGAGGCAGCAGUGAGGAAUAUUGGUCAAUGGGCGCGAGCCUGAACCAGCCAAGUUGCGUGAAGGAUGACUGUCUUAUGGAUUGUAAACUUCUUUUAGACGGGAAUAACAAGAGUCACGUGUGACUCCCUGCAUGUACCGUAUGAAUAAGCAUCGGCUAACUCCGUG
Molecule: ribosomal RNA, 487 nt
Filed under: uncultured bacterium
Lineage: Bacteria
Description: partial 16S ribosomal RNA
Rfam family: Bacterial small subunit ribosomal RNA
Source: RNAcentral